Molecule: transfer RNA, 71 nt
Filed under: Candidatus Anammoximicrobium sp.
Lineage: Bacteria; Pseudomonadati; Planctomycetota; Planctomycetia; Pirellulales; Pirellulaceae
Description: tRNA-Gln
Rfam family: tRNA
About the family: Transfer RNA (tRNA) molecules are approximately 80 nucleotides in length. Their secondary structure includes four short double-helical elements and three loops (D, anti-codon, and T loops).
Source: RNAcentral
UGCCCCGUAGGCUAAUGGAAAACCACCUGACUCUGGAUCAGGCUUUCUUGGUUCGAGUCCAAGCGGGGCAG